RNAcentral lists this ribosomal RNA (355 nucleotides) under uncultured bacterium. RNAcentral describes it as "bacterial SSU rRNA". It matches the Rfam family "Bacterial small subunit ribosomal RNA", at positions 28 to 376 of the family's 1533-position model. The record is from RNAcentral.
GAUGAACGCUGGCGGCGUGCUUAACACAUGCAAGUCGAGGGGCAUCACAUGAAGUAGCAAUACGGAUGGUGGCGACCGGCGCACGGGUGAGUAACACGUAUGCAACCUGCCUGUAAGCGGGGGAUAACCCGUUGAAAGACGGACUAAUACCGCAUAAUACUGGAGAUCUGCAUGGAUAUUCAGUUAAACAUUUAUGGCUUACAGAUGGGCAUGCGCAUGAUUAGAUAGUUGGAGAGGUAACGGCUCCCCAAGUCAACGAUCAUUAGGGGUUCUGAGAGGAAGGUCCCCCACACUGGUACUGAGACACGGACCAGACUCCUACGGGAGCAGCAGUGAGGAAUAUUGGUCAAUGGGC